Xenia sp. Carnegie-2017 is the source of this 693-nucleotide long non-coding RNA. RefSeq lists it as uncharacterized. The transcript is spliced from 2 exons. The record is from RefSeq and is a predicted model, not a curated record. Lineage: Eukaryota; Metazoa; Cnidaria; Anthozoa; Malacalcyonacea; Xeniidae.
UGUUCAUCGUUAUUUGUUGAUAGUGUAUAAAAUAUUAUAUAAUAUGCCGAGUUAAUAACAUUUAUAGCAUCACAAUGAGUUCAAAUUGUCUAAACACGACUAUUUAUUGCGAAGUUAUGGGGAAACGUCGUUCAGGAACUCAGAAAAAUGUUGACGACCGUUUAAGAGUUUAAAUGGCAACAGCACUGUAGAAUUUUCUAUUACACAAGUUAAGUUACAAAAAAUAUGUUAAAAGUCCUAAUUUUUGUUAUGCAUCAUCGACCAGCAGCAAAAGUAUGGUGGCCACCUUGCGUGCCUUCUCCGUCCGACGUCCCAGUUCAAUACCAACCUGUCUCUGCGAAGAUACUACGUCUAACCAAGUCUACUAACGCCAACGUGCAAGUUAGAUAGUGUGUCUGAAAGAUGAGUGAUGGUGGGGAAUGAUGGUGAAAGGUGAAGAAGAGAAGUGAUGGUAAGUAAAUAAAUUGAAUUAUGUUCAUAAAUUUUCACGAAAAAUUUUGCUAAAGCUCUUUGAACCCGCGGUCAACAGCGUUGAAAGCGGGAGUAUUUCUCUUGAUCUAAAUUGUUACGAUAAUUUUAUGAUUUAGAACUUCUAUUUAACCUUCUUUAUGCAUUUUAAUAAAAUACGAUUGCUGUUAUGCAAAAACACCAUUUGGCUGUUGAACCAAUAAAUCAUGCAGUGACACAGGGCAA